Molecule: ribosomal RNA, 800 nt
Filed under: uncultured bacterium
Lineage: Bacteria
Description: bacterial SSU rRNA
Rfam family: Bacterial small subunit ribosomal RNA
Source: RNAcentral
CAGUCGAACGGGUGAAGCAGUGCUUGCACUGUGAAUCUAGUGGCGCACGAGUGAGUAACGCGUGGGAAACUGCCCAUCACUGGGGAAUAACGUUUGGAAACGAACGCUAAUACCGCAUACGCCGGAAACGGGAAAGAUUUAUCGGUGAUGGAUGUGCCCGCGUUGGAUUAGCUUGUUGGUGGGGUAACGGCCUACCAAGGCGAUGAUCCAUAGCUGGUCUGAGAGGACGAUCAGCCACGCUGGAACUGAGACACGGUCCAGACUCCUACGGGAGGCAGCAGCUAAGAAUAUUGGGCAAUGGAGGAAACUCUGACCCAGCCAUGCCGCGUGAAUGAAGAAGGCCUUCGGGUUGUAAAGUUCUUUUAGUCGUGAAGAUGAUGACAGUAGCGACAGAAGAAGCACCGGCUAACUUCGUGCCAGCAGCCGCGGUAAUACGAAGGGUGCAAGCGUUGUUCGGAUUUACUGGGCGUAAAGCGUCCGUAGGUGGUUUGUUAAGUCAGGGGUGAAAUCCCGGGGCCCAACCCCGGAACUGCCUUUGAUACUGGCAAGCUGGAGCGUGAUAGAGGAAGAUGGAAUAUCUGGUGUAGGGGUGAAAUCCGUAGAUAUCAGAUGGAACACCAAUGGCGAAGGCAGUCUUCUGGAUCAUUGCUGACACUGAGGGACGAAAGCGUGGGUAGCAAACAGAAUUAGAUACUCUGGUAGUCCACGCUGUAAACGAUGAUGACUAACCGUCGGCGAUACACAGUCGGUGGCCAAGCGAAAGCGAUAAGUCAUCCACCUGGGGAGUACGGCCGCAAGGC